AACGAACGCUGGCGGCAUGCCUAACACAUGCAAGUCGAACGAAGCCUUCGGGCUUAGUGGCGCACGGGUGCGUAACGCGUGGGAAUCUGCCCCUUGCUUCGGAAUAACAGUUAGAAAUGACUGCUAAUACCGGAUGAAGUCUUCGGACCAAAGAUUUAUCGGCAAGGGAUGAGCCCGCGUAGGAUUAGGUAGUUGGUGGGGUAAAGGCCUACCAAGCCGACGAUCCUUAGCUGGUCUGAGAGGAUGAUCAGCCACACUGGGACUGAGACACGGCCCAGACUCCUACGGGAGGCAGCAGUGGGGAAUAUUAGACAAUGGACGCAAGUCUGAUCCAGCAAUGCCGCGUGAGUGAUGAAGGCCUUAGGGUUGUAAAGCUCUUUUACCAGGGAUGAUAAUGACAGUACCUGGAGAAUAAGCUCCGGCUAACUCCGUG
This 433-nucleotide ribosomal RNA is filed under the name uncultured bacterium. Its description in RNAcentral is "partial 16S ribosomal RNA". It matches the Rfam family "Bacterial small subunit ribosomal RNA", at positions 29 to 507 of the family's 1533-position model. The record is from RNAcentral.